UUGGUGGGCCCUUUGCUGAGGAGAUUCCCAACCUCCACCGCGUCCGAUGGCCGACGCGACCGGCGGUGAGCCGGCGACCCACUCCGCCGGAAGUCAGCCGUCUGCCCGCGCUGCGCGGCGCGGCCAGCUAGUUCCUCUCCGGGUGGUCGGGAGCAAGAUCAGGCGGGCCUCCGCGGCGGGGAUCGUUGGGAUCUUGCCCCAUCCGUGGUCGCGCCCCUUCCGCCUCCCUGCCUUUUCUCUCAAUCGCAGAAGGCAGCAGCCGGCCUCGCUCCCGCCGGCCUCGCCUCCCGUCCCUCCGGUGUCGCCGGCGUCGAGCGAGCGUAGGGUCGCCAGCCCCGUCUCCGUGAGUCCCCUCCUCCCCCGCCAGUCCUCUCCUCCUCCCUCCGCAGCCUGUGCGCCCCCUACCCAAACCCUAGAGUAGACCAAGGCCGCAGCUGCCGGCGGGCGGUGGACCGGCGAGACGACAGUAGGAUGGCUGCCCUGGAGUAACCGGCUGUGCGCAGGAUCGGCAUUCAACAGAUUUUCGUCAUAUUAAUCAUGUCACUUAGCAAGGUUGAAGUGAACUUGAUAAGGCUGCAGCUUCAAGCGACUCCUCGGCAGCAGAACCAGGCUAAGCUUGUCCAUAUGUUUGUCUGUGUCCACGUGAGAGACAGAGAGGACUAAUCUGCAACCAUUUUCACAGAAGAGUUUGCUCAUUGGACAGCACAGAGGACUAAUCUGCAACCAUUUUCACAGAAGGGUUUGCUCAUUGGACAGCACAAUACGAUGAAAGUUUGUAAUUAAGUUGUGUUCAUCAAUUGACCAGGGAACAUUUUUUUUUUCUCUAACAACUGUGAUCACAAUCGAGUGGAUUGAAUCAUAUAUAUCAAAUGAAAAGAAAAUCAAAUUGAGCAUAUAUAUAUAUAUGUAUAU
Oryza brachyantha (malo sina) is the source of this 912-nucleotide long non-coding RNA. RefSeq lists it as uncharacterized. Lineage: Eukaryota; Viridiplantae; Streptophyta; Magnoliopsida; Poales; Poaceae. The transcript is spliced from 3 exons. The record is from RefSeq and is a predicted model, not a curated record.